RNAcentral lists this ribosomal RNA (497 nucleotides) under uncultured Paraglomus. RNAcentral describes it as "SSU rRNA". It matches the Rfam family "Eukaryotic small subunit ribosomal RNA", at positions 591 to 1092 of the family's 1831-position model. Lineage: Eukaryota; Fungi; Glomeromycota; Glomeromycetes; Paraglomerales; Paraglomeraceae. The record is from RNAcentral.
CCAAUAGCGUAUAUUAAAGUUGUUGCAGUUAAAAAGCUCGUAGUUGAACUUCAGGCCUGGCUGGACGGUCCGCCUUCUGGGUGAGUACUGUCUGUGGUCGGGUCCUACCUUCUGGCGAAGCGUCAUGGCCUUCACCGGCCGUGGCGGGGAGCCAGGACUUUUACUUUGAAAAAAUUAGAGUGUUCAAAGCAGGCACGCGCUUGAAUACAUUAGCAUGGAAUAAUGGAAUAGGACAGUGGUUCUAUUUGUUGGUUUCUAGGACCGUUGUAAUGAUUAAUAGGGAUAGUUGGGGGCAUUAGUAUUCAAUUGUCAGAGGUGAAAUUCUUGGAUUUAUUGAAGACUAACUACUGCGAAAGCAUUUGCCAAGGAUGUUUUCAUUAAUCAAGAACGAAAGUUAGGGGAUCGAAGACGAUCAGAUACCGUCGUAGUCUUAACCAUAAACUAUGCCGACUAGGAAUCGGGCGAUGUUGACAAAAUGACGCGCUCGGCACCUCAUG